GGCCUACAGCUAACAUUGUAGUUAAACCACAAGGAGGACCAGAGGGCUGGCCUACAGCUAACAUUGUAGUUAUAACAGCAGGAGGACCAGAGGGCAGGCCUACAGCUAACAUUGUAGUUAUAACAGCAGGAGGACCAGAGGGCUGGCCUACAGCUAACAUUGUAGUUAAACCACAAGGAGGACCAGAGGGCUGGCCUACAGCUAACAUUGUAGUUAAACCACCUGGAGGACCAGAGGACUGGCCUACAGCUAACAUUGUAGUUAAACCACCAGGAGGACCAGAGGGCUGGCCUACAGCUAACAUUGUAGUUAAACCACCAGGAGGACCAGAGGACAGGUCUACAGCUAACAUUGUAGUUAUAACAGCAGGAGGACCAGAGGACAGGCCUACAGCUAACAUUGUAGUUAAACCACCAGGAGGACCAGAGGGCUGGCCUACAGCUAACAUUGUAGUUAAACCACCAGGAGGACCAGAGGACAGGCCUACAGCUAACAUUGUAGUUAAACCACCAGGAGGACCAGAGGGCUGGCCUACAGCUAACAUUGUAGUUAUAACAGCAGGAGGACCAGAGGACAGGCCUACAGCUAACAUUGUAGUUGAACCACCAGGAGGACCAGAGGACAGGCCUACAGCUAACAUUGUAGUUAAACCACCAGGAGGACCAGAGGGCAGGCCUACAGCUAACAUUGUAGUUAUAACAGCAGGAGGACCAGAGGGCUGGCCUACAGCUAACAUUGUAGUUGAACCACCAGGAGGACCAGAGGGCUGGCCUACAGCUAACAUUGUAGUUAUAACAGCAGGAGGACCAGAGGACAGGCCUACAGCUAACAUUGUAGUUAAACCACCAGGAGGACCAGAGGACAGGCCUACAGCUAACAUUGUAGUUAUAACAGCAGGAGGACCAGAGGGCUGGCCUACAGCUAACAUUGUAGUUAAAUCACCAGGAGGACCAGAGGACAGGCCUACAGCUAACAUUGUAGUUAUAACAGCAGGAGGACCAGAGGGCUGGCCUACAGCUAACAUUGUAGUUAUAACAGCAGGAGGACCAGAGGGCUGGCCUACAGCUAACAUUGUAGUUAAACCACCAGGAGGACCAGAGGGCUGGCCUACAGCUAACAUUGUAGUUAAAC
This 1131-nucleotide long non-coding RNA is filed under the name Salmo salar (Atlantic salmon). Its description in RNAcentral is "lncRNA (ENSSSAG00000117075.1)". Lineage: Eukaryota; Metazoa; Chordata; Actinopteri; Salmoniformes; Salmonidae. The record is from RNAcentral.